GUCGACGGGGGUGAGAACGUCGCGGGAAAUAUUCCCUCGCUAACCCCCACUUUGGGCUACACAGCGGCCUUGGAGAGGACCACACUCUACAGGAAAAACAUCAGGCUUGCAAAGAUGUUUACAAUAGCAGAGGCAUGGAGUUGGUAGAAGAGAAAGAUCUCCAAGCAAAGAAUGGGUUUUCCCUGAGAAGGUCGCAUCCCAUGCAGACAAACCAUUUCGCCUCACCGGGAAAGCUGAACUCAGACCCCUGUGAGUUGUGUUCAUAGUGCUUUACGUCCAACUCCUUAAAACUGUGGUGGUGGCUUACGCCUGUCAUCCCCGCACUUUGGGAAGCUGAGGCGGGCAGAUGAUGAGAUCAAGAGUUUGAGACCAUCCUGGCCAACACGGUGAAACCCCAUCUUUACUAAAAAUACAAAAAUUAGCUGGGCGUGGUGGAGCGUGCCUGCAGUCCCAGCUACUUGGGAGGCUGAAGCAGGAGAAUCACUUGAACCCGGGAGGCAGAGCUUGCAGUGAGCCGAGAUCGUGCCAUUGCCCUCCAGCCUGGUGACAGAGCGAGACUCCGUCUCAGAAAAACAAAAACAAACUGUGGCAUCUUCAAGAAGAUGGCAUUUUAUCCAAUUCCCCUUUAAUGAGAAUGUGAGCUUAAGUUAGGCUAACUUUUAUCUCUCUGUUGUCCCUAAUCGGACUAAGAAAAGCCACGUGAUCUUGAGCAGAACAAGGAACAUUUCAGCCCCCCAGCCUGUAACAGAGAAGCUCAAGAUGCCACAUGGCGAGGCUCUGCAGCCCGUCUGCUCAAACCUGCCCACACCGCACCUUGCUCCCGGGAGCCCUGAACCCCUCGCCGAGUCUCAGGCUGAGCAGGGAUCUCAGAUCUGGCUGCCCAUUAGAAACCUGGUAGGCUCUCACCCAAAGCAAAGGAUGCUGUGAUCCCCUCAGCAGGUCCUGAGAGAGGACUCAGCCACUGCACACGCACACUGGUCUCUGGAGGGGCAGCCACGUUCUAUCGUGGUAACGUCUGCCCCAUGGCAGGGACUGCUGACUGUCCCUACGCUCUCCUCCUUCCUCUUGGUGAUGGAAGCUACCACCCGCCGAGUUGUAGAUGCCCACAGUUCCUGGACCCUGUGCAGCUGGCUAUGGCACAGAGACUGCAUGUGGGACAAUGGGAAUACUACCAAAGGCGAGGAAGACAAUUUCCAGGUGAUCUUUUUAAAGUCCAGGCCACUUGUCCCGACUUCCUAUCUCCCUUCCCACAGAGAGGCUGAGGAGUGAGGUGAGCCAGCCUCCAUCCCAUGGGAGAGAACCACAUGACGGUGGAGCCACACGUCCACCAGAGCCUAAAUGCUGGGGCCCCGAGUGACCGCACGGAACCACGCUGCCCCAGGCACAGGAGCACUCAACUCUGUAGCCUCACCAGAGGGAGACGGCGCUGCCUGCCCGAGCCGCUUCACACUCAGACCUUUUCAUUACAGCAGAUUCAUCUACUCACAACAAAGGGGUUGUGAGUUCUCCAAGAACAUGUUUUUAAAUAUCUUUCAGUAAAUCUAUUACAAGUUCUCAUUAGAUUGAAUUUAUUCUUAAAUUUUUUAUCUCAGUUGCUAUUAUAAAUAAAUUAAUUUAUUCCAUGCCAA
This is a long non-coding RNA of Gorilla gorilla gorilla (western lowland gorilla), 1628 nucleotides long. RefSeq lists it as uncharacterized. The transcript is spliced from 4 exons. The record is from RefSeq and is a predicted model, not a curated record. NCBI's taxonomy places the organism in Eukaryota, Metazoa, Chordata, Mammalia, Primates, Hominidae.